Long non-coding RNA from Pelobates fuscus (common spadefoot toad), 476 nucleotides. RefSeq lists it as uncharacterized. The record is from RefSeq and is a predicted model, not a curated record. NCBI's taxonomy places the organism in Eukaryota, Metazoa, Chordata, Amphibia, Anura, Pelobatidae. The transcript is spliced from 3 exons.
AUUUUGAGAACCUUUGACUCCGUGACGUGUGAGCAGCAGUGCCGCGCAGGCCCCGCCCCCCGUGUUCAGCGAGCUGGUCGGACUGAGCGGGGACGGGAGGGCAGACAAAGCGAGCGCUGACCCAAUGAAUGGGGGGGAGAGCGGCGGCUGCGGCGGUGACGGCAUGCGGCGGAGACCCCCCGGCUGACCAGGUGCUGCAUUUGGACCAAUAUGACAGAUAACCAUUUAUGAUGUGCUUAUGCAGAGUCCUUUAGUCAAAUGGUUUCUUCAGAAUUCUCAGGAUGGCUGUAAUCGUACUGGUGUAGAAACUGUCAAUUUAUUCAUUACCCUGCCAAGAACAUUCGACCAAACUUGUAGGAGAUAUGUAUUGUUCACAGCAGCUAAGCAUUGAAGAAAUCUCACUCCGUAACACAGGAACUUUGCAUUUCUCCCCCUAGUUAAGUGUAUUGGAAUUUCAUAUGAGCAUUCUUCCUUUA